This is an RNA transcript of Ctenopharyngodon idella (grass carp), 4417 nucleotides long. It is a transcript of the gene named tripartite motif-containing protein 16-like, with no coding region annotated. Lineage: Eukaryota; Metazoa; Chordata; Actinopteri; Cypriniformes; Xenocyprididae. The record is from RefSeq and is a predicted model, not a curated record. The transcript is spliced from 6 exons.
CUGAACGACUGCAGGAGAUGAUCUGCCAAACACAUGAUAAACUCCUUGAGGUUUUCUGCCGCACUGACCAGAAGUUUAUAUGUGUGCUGUGUACGAUGGAUGAACAUAAAAACCACGACACUGUAUCAGCUGCAGCACAGAGGACAGAGAAACAGAUUCAACUUUUUUCAGCAACUGGACAAGGCAUGACCUGACUAGGCAAACAGGAUCAGGCAGGGCAGGACACAAGGGGAACAUCUGACAAUGAUCUGGCACAGGACUGCAAACACAGGAAGAAUUAAUAGGGAGUAAACAAGGCAGGUUAUGAGAGAAAACAGAACCAGCUGAAGGAGACGCAGAGGUCAUUUCAGCAGAGGAUCCAGCAGAGAGAGAAAGAUCUUCAGCAGCUGAGAGAGGCUGUGGAGUCUCAUAAGCGCUUUGCACAGACAGCAGUGGAGGACACUGAGAGGAUCUUCACUGAGCUCAUCCGCUCCAUUGAGAGAAGCCACUCUGAGGCCACACAGCGGAUCAGAGAUCAGGAAAAGACUGCAGUGAGUCGAGCUGAAGGACGACUGGAGCGACUGGAGCAGGAGAUCAAUGAUCUGAGGAGGAGAGACGCUGAGCUGGAGCAGCUUUCACACACACAGGAUCACAUCCAUUUCCUGCAGGUAACAGAGAUCUAGAAGAACAGGGUCAUAGUGGAUUUGAGCAAGAGACUCACAGAGAAACAUUUCAUGAGAGCAGAAUGCGCCCUUGACUGAAGUGUUGUCAGGAAUUCUGUGUUGUGUUAUAUAAUCAUAAGGUAGAUCCUCAUCUGAUCAUCUUGGUUUAAAAUAGACGACACUUAUAAAUGCAUUUCAACUCUGAAAAUCUCUUAGUAAAAAUGUUCUGAGCUCUUUAUAUAUUUAGCUCUAUAUAUAUUUAGCUGCCAAACUCCACUAAUGCCAUAAACAGUUCAAAACUUCCAGAACACUGAAACUUUUUUUAACCAAAUUUUCCCUUCUGGUUUUUUACAUCAUGGUGAAAUCUUGAUGGUACCAAUUUUGAGUAAUGUUCACCAAAGUUGCUUCAGGUGAUCUUCAAACCUGAACAAAUGGAUUGGGAUUUUCAUAAUUGUUCCCUUGAGGACCACACCCAUGAGUAUCUCCAUCUAGAUUGCAUAGUGCACUACCCAGAUGACUCCCUGUGCACCUUAUAUCACGCCGGCCUCAAAGAGCAGACAGAGGUGUGCCUGCCUGUGGAUGGCCCUCAAGGGACAUUCGGUAAGUAUGUGGAGUCGGUACUCUCUAGCUGUGUUUCCCCCUUCACAGUGGGUGAAGAGGAGGAGGAUCCCAAAUACGGUGGUCCCGGACCUAGCACUCUUUGACCUACAUAUUCUGGAAUGGACUCCUGCCUAUUCUCCCAACCUUGAGCUCUCUUCUUCUCCACCGGUCCCACCAGGCCUACUGGACUUUCUGGUUCCGAAUAGUUCCCUGGCCCUCCUUCCUCUGCUGGUCCCGCUCAGCCUCCUGGCUCCUUUGUCUCCGCUGGUCCCGCCCAGCCUCCAAGCUCCUGCAUUCCAACCAUGGAGGUCAUCCAAAGCCCCGUCGUCCUCGCAAGUUCCAUAUCCCAGAUAGCAAACGGAUGUGGGCUACUUCAGGCAAUGAUGCGGCACUGCAGGCGUUCUUAUGGCCCGGACAAAAUGUAUGUGAGCCUUAAGUGGCCAGCAUGUAACAUGGGAAAUAUGGCUCAAAUAUUUCAAAUCACAUGUGGGCCUUUUUAGGCAAAGAUGCGGCACUUACGGCAAUGUGUAAUCUGAAUGUGAGCCUGAAGUGGCCCAUGUGAUAAAUAAUGAAUAUGGCCCAAAUAUCACAAACCAAAUGUGGGCCAUCUUUGGCAAAAAUGUGGCACAAUCAACAAUGGCUAAUCUGGGUGUAAACCAAAUAUGGCCCACAUAUGCUGCAGCAAAUGUGGCCCAGUUAUUUUAAAACACAACUGGGCCAGUUUUGGCAAAGAUGUGGGAAAGUAAUCAGUGGCGAUUCUGAAUGUGAACCUAAAGUGGCCCACACACAGCGUAACAAAUAUGGCCCGGAUACAUUACUCCAACUUUGGACCACAUUUGGCAAAUGUACGGCACAGUCAGCACUGGCUAACCAGGGUGUGAGCCUAAACUGGCCCACAUAUAAUGCAGCAAAUGUGGCCCAGUUAUCUUAAAACAUAUCUGGGCCAGUUUUGACAAACUUAUGGGACAGUAAUCACUGGCGAUUCUGAAUGUGAAACAAAAAUAGCCCACACACAGCAUAGCAAAUAUGGCCCGGAUACAUUACUCCAACUUUGGACCACAUUUGGCAAAUGUAUGUCAUAGUCAUCACUGGCUAACCAGGGUGUGAGCCUAAACUGGCCCACAAAUAAUGCAGCAAAUAUGGCUCAGAUAUCUUAAAACAUAUCUGGACCAGUUUUGGCAAACAUGAGGGACAGUAACGACUGGCAAAUCUGAAUGUGAACCUAAAGUGGCCCACACACAGCGUAACAAAUAUGGCCCGAAUACAUUACUCCAACUAUGGACCACAUUUGGCAAAUGUACGGCACAGUCAGCACUGUCUAACCAGGGUGUGAGCCUAAACUGAUUAAUGUCAAUUGUAGGUUUAAUGUAGAGGUAUAGAUUAUGCAGUUUGUACAGUAUAAAAAUCAUUAUGUCUAUGGAAAGUCCCCAUAAAACAUGAAAACACAACGUGUGUGUGUGUGUGUGUGCGUGUGUGUACUGUAGAGCAGAAACACAGACGUGCACUAUUACAGCUCUUACAGUCAGUUAUGCUGUACAUGUACUGUAAGUAGAGUGUCUGAUUGAGAAACGUGACAACAUAGUUAAAACAUAGCUACCCCUAAACCUAACCCAACCCAUUAUCCUUAAAGCAGGAAAUGAUAACCAGCACAAAACCCUGGUUGAUGCAUAAACUUGACAUAAACUGUAAACUUGUCACUCAAAUAUGAUUGGUUGAAUGAAAAGCAGGAUUAACAAUGUAAGCAGGCAGUGUCAUUUUAUAAACUGCUUUAAGUGACCCUGAUAUUGUAAUAAGUAAAUGAAUGAAUAAACUAAUAAAUAAAACAUUACAAAACAAACAUUAAUAAAAAUAUUUAAUUUGUCUUACAUUUUGGCUGCAUAUUGACAUUUACAUUUAUAAAUUACUUUUUUAUGAAUAAAAAUAGCCUAUCAUAAUGUUAAUUGAUGAAUUAAAUUAUGAGUGGGUAAAUCAGCACAAAUCAUCACAAACUGCAAUGAGAACAUUGUAUGUUAUUUUGAUAUUAUUAACUUUUCAAACCUUUUUUUAAUCAUGUUAUAGGCUUCAGCUAAGUUUGUUAGAGAUAAGAUAUUAAUCAAAGUUCAAACUGGUUCGAAUUUUCCUACUUCCGGCCCUUUAAAUUUAAAAGUAGGCGCGCGGAAAAGGCGCCCAAAAGACGGAACAGCGGAGAGGAUCGGCUGGAGAAUUGACGGUGGAAAACUGCACAAAGUAAAGUCAAGAAACAUCAGGCUCACAGCAACAGAUUAAGAAGAAGAAUCCUGCAUCAAAAGAUGGCUUCAACUUGCAUGUGAGACAGAGCGAGAAGAGAAAAAGAGGAAUGAAGAUGGACUGUCUAAGAAACCUGUUACCAUAGUUAGCUGGAUCCCUUCCAAAUCUAUAUCAGAUGGUGGACCUGCAUCUUGGCAUGACCAAAACACAAGCCUAAAUGUCAGCGAAGACCAUGUCACCUAGACAAGCCAUAGAGACAGAUCUCCUGUGAGGACUUCGUUGACAGCCAUAGGCACAGAUCCUCAGCAAAGACCACAAGAACCAGACAAGUCCUCUGCACAGACCCCUACGGCCAGCUUCAACUCUAUGCUGGCGUGUUGUGUCUUGAUCUUCAAACUGAUGGAACCAGAUGAAAUAUUCUAAAUUAUACCAAUCCACAAUCUGACUUGUGAUGCAGCCUGAAUCAUAUCACACCAUGUUCGUUCAUUGGCCAGAGGAGAAUCGGUCCCUGACUGAGCCUGGUUUCUGCCAAGGGGUUUUUUCUUCUCCAUUUCUGUGACCUGAUGGAUUUUGGGUUCCUUACCACUGUUGCCUUUGGCUUGCUAAGUUUGGGACACUUAAUAUUCAGCAAUAAUAUUGAUUUGCUUGCAUUGACACUAUCAUAUGAGAACUGAACUGAGCUGGACGAUGACAUCACUGUUUUCUGCAGAGCUGCUUUAUAACGAAUUGAACUGAUUUCAUAAUUGAUUAACUCUACACAGCUAUUGAACAGAACUGAAUUAAAACUAAACUAACUUCAGCUGAACAAUGACACUAUUUUCUUUUUAGAGCUGCUUUACAGCAGAAUUGAACUCUGUUGGAAUAAUUGGACCAUUCUCCUGUUUAUACCUGUAAAGCUGCUUUGAAACAGUCUAUAAAGUCUUAAAUUAAAGGUGACUUGACCUUUGAAA